This 254-nucleotide ribosomal RNA is filed under the name uncultured bacterium. RNAcentral describes it as "partial 16S ribosomal RNA". It matches the Rfam family "Bacterial small subunit ribosomal RNA", at positions 524 to 776 of the family's 1533-position model. The record is from RNAcentral.
UACGUAGGCAGCAAGCGUUGUUCGGAGUUACUGGGCGUAAAGGGUGUGUAGGCGGUUGGGUAAGAGGGGUGUGAAAUCUCCCGGCUCAACUGGGAGGGUGCGUCGAAUACUGAAUGACUUGGAGUGCGGGAGAGGAAAGUGGAAUUCCUGGUGUAGCGGUGAAAUGCGUAGAUAUCAGGAGGAACACCGGUGGUGUAGACGGCUUUCUGGACCGUAACUGACGCUGAGACACGAAAGCGUGGGUAGUAAACAGG